This 64-nucleotide transfer RNA is filed under the name Cassianeura bimaculata. RNAcentral's name for it is "tRNA-Thr". The record is from RNAcentral. Lineage: Eukaryota; Metazoa; Arthropoda; Insecta; Hemiptera; Cicadellidae.
GUUUUAAUAAUUUAAAUAAAAUAUUGAUUUUGUAAAUCAAACUUGAAUGAUAAUUCUUAAAACA